RNAcentral lists this transfer RNA (70 nucleotides) under Marmota monax (woodchuck). RNAcentral describes it as "tRNA.Ala". The record is from RNAcentral. Lineage: Eukaryota; Metazoa; Chordata; Mammalia; Rodentia; Sciuridae.
GGGGUUGUGGCUCCGUGGUAGAGCGCUCGCCUAGCUCGUGGGAGGCCCUGGGCUUGAUCCCAGCACCACA